GUGAGGAAUAUUGGUCAAUGGGCGAGAGCCUGAACCAGCCAAGUCGCGUGAAGGAAGAAGGAUCUAUGGUUCGUAAACUUCUUUUGCAGGGGAAUAAAGUGCAGGACGUGUCCUGUUUUGUAUGUACCCUGAGAAUAAGGAUCGGCUAACUCCGUGCCAGCAGCCGCGGUAAUACGGAGGAUCCGAGCGUUAUCCGGAUUUAUUGGGUUUAAAGGGUACGUAGGUGGUUUGAUAAGUCAGCGGUGAAAGUUUGCAGCUUAACUGUAAAAAUGCCGUUGAAACUGUCGGACUUGAGUGUAAAUGAGGUAGGCGGAAUGCGUGGUGUAGCGGUGAAAUGCAUAGAUAUCACGCAGAACUCCGAUUGCGAAGGCAGCUUACUAAGCUACAACUGACACUGAAGCACGAAAGCGUGGGGAUCAAACAGGAUUAGAUACCCGGGUAGUCC
Molecule: ribosomal RNA, 445 nt
Filed under: uncultured bacterium
Lineage: Bacteria
Description: partial 16S ribosomal RNA
Rfam family: Bacterial small subunit ribosomal RNA
Source: RNAcentral